GUUCAAUAAAACAUUACCAAAUGCUUGAAAAGCUUGGAUUAAAGCAAAUGUAAAAUGUAUAACUUUGUAACAAUGUUUGUAAAUGUAUUCUUUACUAUGAACGUGUGAACAAGGGUUAUUAAAACAGACAAGACAAUUAGGAGGAAUGUUAACAUAUGGCAGAAAAAUAUGGAAUUGUCAGUCUGAAUUAUGGGAAAAUGACUAAGCAAAGGAAGAAACACUGAGUCAUUCUAGUUGGCAUCUAGCCAAAACAGGUGACGUGCCUGCACAUACGCAACACUCAAUUUGCUGAGUAAGUGUUGCAUCAUAUACAGGUAUAUAGGUAGGUAGUUAACAAACCUAUGUUGUUGGGUUAUUCAUGGAGAAGCAGUGUGUUACUUUGUCAGUCAGCAUCUUGGAGUAUUGGACUGGAAUGGACUGUGAUUGCUAUUUUCUGCACUGCCGAUUCUGAAGAGAGUAUGCAGUAAAUUCUGUAAUUUAUUAUGGCAGUAUUUCUAAGACACAGCAAGUUCGUCAUUUCACUCACCUGCAAAUGAUCAUUCAGAGGAUGAAAGACCUCAGAGAUAUGGUAUGGUUUGCUGUAACAAAUGGUGUUCAGGAGCUGAACAUAAAUCAUGUUUUUAGGCUGAAAAAUGCUCAGCAGUGAAUUUAUACAUCAUAUAUCCCGAAGUGGACAGAAUGUUGUUGUCACAUACCAUGACUUGAGGUCUGCACACAGAAUAUUUUACCAUCAAACCCUUUACACAGUUUCUUGAAAUGAAGUGAUAAUUUUUGUGGGCCAGCAACAUACUUGGCGCAGGUAUCCCCAGUGAAAGGACAAGAUGUGGCUGAAGAAGUCCAUGGCAAAGCCUGAAAGGCACAGGAGGAAACUUCACAUUAUAGGCGGAUGUGCGUGUACUGAUAUUUCCAUGGACUUUUUUUUUUAAAAAAAGGAAGAAAAGAAACUUCAGGUACUAGGAAUUUGUAAUAGCUUUGAAAUUUCUUUCUCCACCCAAGGUUGUUGUUCUCCAACCACACCACUGGAUGGUUUUUUUUAAAAGAAGGAUUACUAAGAGUUAGAUUUCAAGGUAAGACACAUGCUUUUGCAAACUACCAAACAGAGAUGUUCAGAUGUUCUUUUGAAAAUGUUGACAGUUCAAAAACCUUUCGCAUACUGUUAGCCACCCCACAAACAGUAAUUUAAAAAAAAAAAAGAUGGACAUUUUCAAAAGGGCUGAAGAGGCUUCUCAACUGACUAUGGCAAGAGCUGAUAUUUGAAUGAA
RNAcentral lists this long non-coding RNA (1262 nucleotides) under Pogona vitticeps (central bearded dragon). RNAcentral's name for it is "lncRNA (ENSPVIG00000000814.1)". The record is from RNAcentral. Lineage: Eukaryota; Metazoa; Chordata; Lepidosauria; Squamata; Agamidae.